RNAcentral lists this ribosomal RNA (838 nucleotides) under uncultured archaeon. RNAcentral's name for it is "bacterial SSU rRNA". It matches the Rfam family "Archaeal small subunit ribosomal RNA", at positions 58 to 901 of the family's 1478-position model. The record is from RNAcentral.
UCAAGGUGUCUUCGGAUGCCGGCGUACGGCUCAGUAACACGUAGGUAACCUACCCUCAGGACUGAGAUAACCCCGGGAAACUGGGGCUAAUAUUAGAUAGAUAAAAGGUACUGGAAUGUUCUUUUAUCCAAAGCUUUUGCGCCUGAGGAUGGGCCUGCGUCCGAUUAGGUUGUUGGUGGGGUAAUGGCCCACCAAGCCUGCGAUCGGUACGGGCAGUGAGAGCUGAAGCCCGGAGUUGGGGACUGAGACAAGGCCCCAGGCCCUACGGGGCGCAGCAGGCGCGAAACCUCUGCAAUGCGGGAAACCGUGACAGGGGGAUCCCAAGUGCUCAUGCAUUGCAUGGGCUGUUCUUUGGUCUAAGUAACCAGAGGAGUAAGGGCUGGGCAAGACCGGUGCCAGCCGCCGCGGUAAUACCGGCAGCUCAAGUGAUAGCCGCGAUUAUUGGGCCUAAAGCGUUCGUAGCCGGAUAAGUAAGUCUUUGGUUAAAUCCUGCAACUCAACUGUGGGAAAUCUAGGGAUACUGCUUGUCUUGAGACCGGGAGAGGUUAGAGGUACUCCUAGGAUAGGGGUGAAAUCCUGUAAUCCUAGGGGGACCACCUGUGGCGAAGGCGUCUAACUGGAACGGGUCUGACGGUGAGGGACGAAACCUAGGGGAACGAGCCGGAUUAGAUACCCGGGUAGUCCUAGGCGUAAAUGAUGCGAGUUAAGUGUGGGGGCAUCUACGAGAUGGCCCUGUGCUGUAGGGUAGCCGUUAAACUCGCCGCCUGGGGAGUACGGUCGCAAGGCUGAAACUUAAAGGAAUUGGCGGGGGAGCACCACAAGAGGUGGAGGCUGCGGU